AGGUAUCUUGUAUGAUGCACAAGAUGUACAGAGAUCUGUGAGUCUCUAUAUUAUUACAAUAAGCAUUUCUUUCCAUUUAAAAAAACUUUGCUCAUUUUUGUAGGUGAUGAGUUUACUUUUUCAUUUCAUUAUAAUACCGGUCAGUAAAUAAGAGGAGUUUUAAUGCAUUUAAGAGGCAGGAAUACUGUCCUUUGACUUCCAGUCUCUGAUGGAAAAAUAUCAAUUAACAUGGAAUCUGGGAUAGGAUAGCUCUUAGUGAUCACUUGCUCAUUCUAACCAUUUGCCUCAUAAUGCCCUCAUCACUGUAACUAUGGAUUGAAAUGUGCAUUUUGUUCACUUCUCCUGUCUUCAGUAUUUCUUUCUGCAGCAAUGGUGGUGGCUGUUUAGGAGUGACCAGCAGCUGGCAGCACUGAGAAAGGAAAAGGCCAGGAGUGAGAAUUGAGUUAUUUGCUCCAAAACCAACCAGUGCAGCUCUUGUCUGAGCUGCCAGGAGGCAACAGUCACUGGUGUUGGAAGGAGCCUUCCCCACCCUAUUGCAACACUGUACUAGAGGAUGAGCAAAGAUGCUGGCCUUGAAGCAGCAGAAAAGAAAGUGUACUGAUUUCCUCAGUGCAAUGUGAGAAUUGUUUCUGGGGGUGCACUGUUGAAGGCUGCAGUGGUGUGUGCUGUGGAAAGAGGACACAGUACUCCUUGCUUCAGUCCAACACAGCACAUCAGGUGCUGUUCCCCACAGUGCUGUGUGAGGCAGGGUUCCAGUUUUGUCCAGCAGGUGCUGGUGUGCCUUUGCCCAGUUCUGCCACCAUGUACAACACAUUCCAGGUAAUUGAGUUCUUUCAUCUGCUGCAGUAUGAAACUGCAUCAGAAACCUGUCUCAGGGUAUGAGCAAGGAAAAGACAGGAUACUCAAUUCAGAGGCAGUGCUGCCUUCUCUGGGUGUAAAGAUGAGUGAUGGGACUUGAGGAGCUUCUGGCAUGAAGUUGAGAAGCACAAAUGCAGCCUUAGUUCAAGAAAUAAUGAUCUGGUGACCAAAGGUAGGAUAAUAAAGUAAGUGAACACAAUUACCA
Molecule: long non-coding RNA, 1063 nt
Filed under: Serinus canaria (Common canary)
Lineage: Eukaryota; Metazoa; Chordata; Aves; Passeriformes; Fringillidae
Description: lncRNA (ENSSCAG00000001542.1)
Source: RNAcentral